CCUACGGGAGGCAGCAGUGGGGAAUAUUGCACAAUGGGCGAAAGCCUGAUGCAGUGACGCCGCGUGGGGGAUGAAGGCCUUCGGGUUGUAAACUCCUUUUAGUAGGGAAGAAGCCGUAAGGUGACGGUACCUGCAGAAAAAGCGCCGGCUAACUACGUGCCAGCAGCCGCGGUAAU
Molecule: ribosomal RNA, 176 nt
Filed under: uncultured Actinomycetes bacterium
Lineage: Bacteria; Bacillati; Actinomycetota; Actinomycetes
Description: uncultured actinobacterium partial 16S ribosomal RNA
Rfam family: Bacterial small subunit ribosomal RNA
Source: RNAcentral